Long non-coding RNA from Alligator sinensis (Chinese alligator), 1550 nucleotides. RefSeq lists it as uncharacterized. The record is from RefSeq and is a predicted model, not a curated record. The transcript has 6 exons. Lineage: Eukaryota; Metazoa; Chordata; Crocodylia; Alligatoridae.
UUCCAUGCGCUGGGCCGAGGCGGGACAAUGGCGGUCUGGCAGUGCAUCAACUUUCACAAGGCCUGGAGUAGAGUCUGGCGAUGCUGGGACCUGUCCAACAUGGGAUUUGCACUGCUCUCAUUUGGGAGGUGUGGGUGAUCCCCUGCCCAUGGAUCAUGGAGGGGACCUAUCUUCACUCUGUACAAUGAGUCAGACAGGGCUUGUUGGCAUCAUUCAGACCCCCAAGCAAUUGUCUGGAUAGCUCACCUGCUAGAUGAAUGGAACUUGAGUCGGAGCAGCCACUGCACGAGGAAUCUCUCAGCAAAUGGAAGCGGCUGAGAACUGUCUUAUCAGGAGCCAGCACAGUAAUCCUGAUGCCCAGAGGAACAUGAUGGGCACUUUGCAAGGGGCUGAAAUUCUGGAAUGGUGUUUGAUAGCAAAGUCAAAGUGGAACAAGAAGCUGAAAAGCAGGCCAAGACUGGGCUAUAACUGCUAUAGCUUCCUCCUUUGGAACUUUGACUUUACAUUUCUCUUGAAAACCUAUUUCUGGGCUUCCUGCAUCAUCUUGCUGUGCCAGGGCACCUUUGCUGCCUGCCACUUUAAGGGCUAGAACAAGCAGCAGAGCAGCCUACAGAUGGCUGCUUUUCCAGUCAGGAGUCAAAUGACCAGCAGGAGGCUGCCUGAUUGGGAAUGGGGCACAGCUGCUAGGGAUCAGAGCAGGCCCUGGGAAGUAGGGCCAGCAGUUGCUGGAAGCAGCCAGGGAGGGAGCGUCACCUGGCUGGAGCUGCUGCUCACAGAACACCUGGAGGUCAGGAUAGGAACUAUGGGGAUGGAGGAGGUUCCUAGGGUCCAGGCACACUUUUAGAGACACCCAAGUCCCAUGGGACAUAGGCCUUGAGGCCCCAGCAAGGGGACAUAAAAAGUAGUAGGGUCCAUAUGGGGACCUGAAGGACUGUGCUGAAGGGACAUAGAGUAGGGUCCAUGUCAGCAGGCCUGAAGGGCUGAGCAGGGGCAUGCAGGGUAAGGUCCGAGCAGGGCCUGAAGGACUGCACGUAGGACGGUUCCACUAGUUCAUUGAGUUGAGGCCCAGUGAUAGGGCAUCAGCUGGAGGCGCAGGGUGGUCUCUGGACGCCUGAGGUGGUUUGGGCCAGAGUCCAAGUGCUGCCCAGCACUUGGGGCCAGGGGAAUUGGGGGUAAGUUGGAUGCCAUCUGUGAAGUAUGGGACACAGUAUAGGGGAGGUCAGAGCCAUGUAUAAUGCCCUUGACAUCAGAGCAUUAAAAUGGGCAGCCUCCCACCUUAAUAUCAGUUUUAUCAAAGGCAUGGCAGGUGAGCAGGCCAAUGACUUUGACUGGCUGUGAGUUGGCUCCCAUCACACUUGUACAGAAAAUCCUUGUUGCUUUUCCCUAGUCACGUGUACACCCCAAGCUGCCCAGGACAGAGAGUCAUCUGGCAUAUGCUGGGAAAGUAGUCCUUGAAUAAAAACCCCUUUUGGUAUAAAGAUGCUUGGUCUUUUUUGCAAGUCUUUCCUCUAUUAGGGGCAUUUGGAAAUAAAGCCACUAUUGGAAACUUU